UACGAAUGGGGCGAGCGUUGUUCGGAAUCACUGGGCUUAAAGCGUACGUAGGCGGCUGUGAAAGUCAGGAGUGAAAUCCCGGGGCUUAACCCCGGAAUUGCUUUUGAAACUCCACAGCUAGAGGCCCGGAGAGGUUGGCGGAAUUCCGAGUGUAGAGGUGAAAUUCGCAGAUAUUCGGAGGAACACCAGUGGCGUAGGCGGCCAACUGGACGGGUACUGACGCUGAUGUACGAAAGCGUGGGGAGCAAACAGG
Molecule: ribosomal RNA, 253 nt
Filed under: uncultured bacterium
Lineage: Bacteria
Description: partial 16S ribosomal RNA
Rfam family: Bacterial small subunit ribosomal RNA
Source: RNAcentral